AGUGAACGCUGGCGGCGUGCUUAACACAUGCAAGUCGAACGAGAACGGGCUAUAGCUUGCUAUAGUUGUCAGCUAAGUGGCGCACGGGUGAGUAAUAUAUAGGUAAUAUGCCUCUUACUAAGGGAUAACAAAUGGAAACGUUUGCUAAUACCUUAUACUCCUUAUUAACAGAAGUUAAUAAGGGAAAGAUUUAUUGGUAAGAGAUUAGCCUGUAUUGUAUCAGUUAGUUGGUGGGGUAAUGGCUUACCAAGACUAUGACACAUAACUGGUUUGAGAGGAUUAUAAGUCACACUGGAACUGAGACACGGUCCAGACUCCUACGGGAGGCAGCAGUGGGGAAUAUUGCACAAUGGACGAAAGUCUGAUGCAGCAACGCCGCGUGGAGGAUGACACAUUUCGGUGCGUAAACUCCUUUUAUAUGAGAAGAUAAUGACGGUAUUAUAUGAAUAAGCACCGGCUAACUCCGUGCCAGCAGCCGCCGUAA
This 484-nucleotide ribosomal RNA is filed under the name uncultured bacterium. RNAcentral's name for it is "partial 16S ribosomal RNA". It matches the Rfam family "Bacterial small subunit ribosomal RNA", at positions 29 to 523 of the family's 1533-position model. The record is from RNAcentral.